ACGAACGCUGGCGGCGUGCCUAAUACAUGCAAGUCGAGCGAGCUUGCCUAGAUGAUUUUAGUGCUUGCACUAAAUGAAACUAGAUACAAGCGAGCGGCGGACGGGUGAGUAACACGUGGGUAACCUGCCCAAGAGACUGGGAUAACACCUGGAAACAGAUGCUAAUACCGGAUAACAACACUAGACGCAUGUCUAGAGUUUGAAAGAUGGUUCUGCUAUCACUCUUGGAUGGACCUGCGGUGCAUUAGCUAGUUGGUAAGGUAACGGCUUACCAAGGCAAUGAUGCAUAGCCGAGUUGAGAGACUGAUCGGCCACAUUGGGACUGAGACACGGCCCAAACUCCUACGGGAGGCAGCAGUAGGGAAUCUUCCACAAUGGACGAAAGUCUGAUGGAGCAACGCCGCGUGAGUGAAGAAGGGUUUCGGCUCGUAAAGCUCUGUUGGUAGUGAAGAAAGAUAGAGGUAGUAGCUGGCCUUUAUUUGACGGUAAUUACUUAGAAAGUCACGGCUAACUACGUG
This 518-nucleotide ribosomal RNA is filed under the name uncultured bacterium. RNAcentral's name for it is "partial 16S ribosomal RNA". It matches the Rfam family "Bacterial small subunit ribosomal RNA", at positions 29 to 507 of the family's 1533-position model. The record is from RNAcentral.